RNAcentral lists this long non-coding RNA (1574 nucleotides) under Vitis vinifera (wine grape). RNAcentral's name for it is "long non-coding RNA (VVIN_LNC006303)". Lineage: Eukaryota; Viridiplantae; Streptophyta; Magnoliopsida; Vitales; Vitaceae. The record is from RNAcentral.
GAUGAUGUAAUAGAAAUAUAAAAUACAAGAUGUGGAUGGAUAUGAAUGAAAAAAGAUGAGGACAAGGUGAAUGAAAUAGAGUGUGAAGAAUAAUGGGUCGGAAAGAAAUCAAACAAGCACUGAUUUGCUCAAAUCAAGACAUGGAGAAUGAUCAAAUCACCAAUAGAUGAAAUGAUAAAAGAGAAAAUAAUCCAGAGUCCUUAGGAAAAGGUCAUUCGUCUCUCUUACGCAAAAGUGCACAAGACAAACCCCAAGAGGUAAGAGAUUAGAGAGCUCACAUACGAACUCUCAUCAAUAAAUGAACUCAAUAAAACAAUCCUCAAUGACUACCACAUGCUCACUAGAGUAAGAAAAUACAUACAUAUAUACACCCCAACAUUUUUUAUUUUUUAUUUUUACACUUAAUCUCAAUAUCAAUACAUGGGCUCCAAUGAGAAUACAACAUGGUAACUUUUUUUUUGUUUUUUAUUUCUUUUUUUGUGCAUAAUUUGAAUAUCAAUACACGGGCUCCAAUGAGAAUACAUAAUGACGUGGAUAAAUUUUUUCUCUUUUUUUUUUUUUUUUUUUUUUUUUUUUUUUGUGCGCAUAAUCUUAAUAUCAAUACAUGGGCUCCAAUGAGAAUACAUAAUGACAUGAAUAACUCUCAAACAAUGUUGUAAACUCUUACUGACAAGAUAACCUUCUCAACUAAGGAUCUCUAGACCACUGUCCAUAGGAUGGGAUGUAAGUGGUGAUAUGACCAUACUCCAUGCGAUGAAAUGUGAAAGAUCCGUACUCGAGGAAUGAAAGGAAACGAAGUAAAUCAAAUGAUACGGAAGUCAAUAAGAUGGAACAAAGGAUACAAAUAGUGGGAAUAAUGAAACAUGGAUAUCAUGGGGAUAACAAAAUAGUGAAAAAAAUAUGUCAGUAAGUCCAUGGCUCCUGAAACUCCCGAACAAAGCAUAUGUACAUCAGAGGGCCCCUAUCCCGGUGUAAAGGUGAGCAAGGCUAUAAGAAAGAAAAAGGCCAAGAUGCUCAUGCGAGGCUCAAAAGGCUAGCAACGGUCUAAAAGUCAAUAAAGGUGAUAAGGUAUAAGCUGACCGAAAUAAUGGCCACCCAUCCUGCGACCACGAUUCCAAACAUUGUGCUCUCAAACUAUCACAUGAUCAACACUAAAGAUCAAUGUCCAUCCAAUGUAACUAUGUCAAUCUCACUCUGAAUGAGCCGUAAUAGUCUAAAAAAUAACCCUCUCAACAGUAGAAUAGUCAAUUACGUCAUCCAGUAAACAUGAGUCACUCAUCAUCCCCUCAUAAUGUCGACCCCUAUAACCAUGCCAAUCCACUGGAGUCAUGUGUAAAAGCUCAAUCUGACUACUCAGCAAUGAUCUCAAAGAUGGUCCUCUUAAUGACAGAAUAGACAAUGAUCUCAUCAACCACAGCCUCUUAUCACAAUCCAACGGUCAUCAUAGAAGAUCAACCUCUAUAGUCAUGCCAACCUCCUGAAAUCAUGCAUAAGGGUCUAAUCUGGAUGCUCCAUAAUGAUCUCAAAGAUGAUCCUCUCACCCAAAUCUAGUCUCCUCAAACUCUACCUGGUCG